GGGCCGUUAGCUCAGUUGGUAGAGCAGGGGACUCUUAAUCCCUUGGUCGAAGGUUCGAGUCCUUCACGGCCCACCA
RNAcentral lists this transfer RNA (76 nucleotides) under Thiohalophilus sp. RNAcentral describes it as "tRNA-Lys". It matches the Rfam family "tRNA". Rfam says of the family: Transfer RNA (tRNA) molecules are approximately 80 nucleotides in length. Lineage: Bacteria; Pseudomonadati; Pseudomonadota; Gammaproteobacteria; Thiohalomonadales; Thiohalophilaceae. The record is from RNAcentral.